AUGGGGUCAUGCAAGAGAUUCUUUUGGAAGAAAAAAAUAUAUUAUGUUAGCUUUAUUGAUGACUUUAGCAAGUUCACUUGGAUAUAUUUGCUUAAGUUUAAAUCUGAAGUUCUUUCCAUCUUCCAAGAAUUUCAGAAACUUGUUGAGCGUCAAUUCAACAGAAAGAUUAUUGCAGUUCAAAGUGACCGGGGAGGAGAGUAUGAGAAACUCAACUCUUUCUUUCGUGACAUUGGUAUUAGUCAUCAUGUCUCUUGCCCUCAUGCUCAUCAGCAGAAUGGCUCCGCCGAGCGUAAACAUCGCCACAUUGUCGAAGUAGGUCUAUUCCUUCUAGCUCAUGCAUCCAUGCCCUUAAAAUAUUGGGACGAAGCCUUUAUUGCUGCCACUUAUCUUAUAAAUCGUCUUCCCAACGAAGUAAUUGGUCAUAUCACUCCUUUGGAAAAAUUGUUUCAUCAAAAACCAGACUAUAACUCCUUGAGAAUUUUCGGGUGUGCUUGCUACCCUAAUCUUCGUCCAUAUAAUCAUCACAAACUUGAGUUUCGUUCGACUCAAUGUGUGUUUCUCGGUUAUAGUAACCUUCACAAAGGAUACAAGUGUCUUGAAAUCUCUACUGGACGAAUCUAUAUUUCUCGUGAUGUUAUAUUUGAUGAAACAAUAUUCCCUUUUGAAAAACUUCAUCCAAAUGCCGGAUCUCUUCUUCGUGCAGAAAUUGCACUUCUUCCGGAAUAUGUAUCUAGUCCAGAUCACGGGGGUGAGUUAAAUAGUGCUGAUCAUGUGACUAAUCCUAAAGAAAAUAUGGUUUUUGAUGGUAAAAGUGCAGCUUCAGGACGUGAUUUUAUGCAAAGAGAUGCAGCCAAAACUGUCACGGGAUCCCAGGAAGAUUUGAGCGGCAGCAGAACAGGAUCCGAGGAAAAUCCCCGCGUCAGGCUUGGCACGCGAUCCUAG
RNAcentral lists this ribosomal RNA (942 nucleotides) under Triticum aestivum (bread wheat). RNAcentral describes it as "partial small subunit ribosomal RNA". The record is from RNAcentral. Lineage: Eukaryota; Viridiplantae; Streptophyta; Magnoliopsida; Poales; Poaceae.